This 292-nucleotide ribosomal RNA is filed under the name uncultured bacterium. RNAcentral describes it as "partial 16S ribosomal RNA". It matches the Rfam family "Bacterial small subunit ribosomal RNA", at positions 505 to 796 of the family's 1533-position model. The record is from RNAcentral.
GUUCCAGCAGCCGCGGUAAUACAGAGGGGGCUAGCGUUAUUCGGAAUUAUUGGGCGUAAAGGGCGCGUAGGCGGCUUUGCGUGUCUUCCGUGAAAUCCCUCGGCUCAACCGAGGACGUGCGGAAGAAACUGCAAGGCUCGAGUCCGGAAGAGGGGGGCGGAAUUCCCAGUGUAGCGGUGAAAUGCGUAGAUAUUGGGAGGAACACCAGUGGCGAAGGCGGUCCCCUGGGCCGGAACUGACGCUGAGGCGCGAAAGCGUGGGUAGCAAACGGGAUUAGAUACCCUGGUAGUCC